Molecule: long non-coding RNA, 1004 nt
Organism: Apis cerana (Asiatic honeybee)
Lineage: Eukaryota; Metazoa; Arthropoda; Insecta; Hymenoptera; Apidae
Source: RefSeq, a predicted model, not a curated record
GAAAUAAAAGAGUUUAAAUUAUAAGAUAAAAUAUAAAGUGUUAUAAAUACAAAAUAUUUUCUUUGUACUAUAACUCAAGUAACUCAUAAUAUAUAAUAAAUUGAGUUCGGAUAAAAUGGAUUUCUAUCGUACCUGGCUAUCAAGGACAUCGUUAUAGGAAAUAUCGACAUGUUUUGUCCGCCAACUAAGUAUUCUCGAACCGCGUUUUCGUUUUUUCGGGAUUUGUACGCUUGGUACACACCGACCACGGCCGAAAUCGCGAGCAUACCAGCAAACACGGCACAAUCGAUUAUCCCGAACGAGUUGUGCAUUGAACCGUCCGUAUCGUCGCUUCCGUCCAUGGUCUCCAGGAUCUCGAUCUCAGAUUCUCAGAAUCGAUUGUUUUCGCGAUCGAGACGAGACAAGAUGCAAAGGAGAGUGGAAUCGCGGCCGUCUCGUUCGAAAAACGGUUCGUUUCUAAGUCGACGAGUAACAGAUGAGGAGCAGAGAACGGUUUAAACGGGCCAGCUCGGAGAGACGAUUGAAUAAUUGGAGAUUCCAUCGUUAUCGUUCCCACUCCGCUUCCUCCGUUACUUCUGUUAACUUCCUCUGGUCUUCCUCUUCCUCGUCCUCGUCCUCGCGCUACCAGUUCGAGCUCGAGCUGCCGUUGAACUGCAACCACGACGUCCUUGCGUGGUGAGUCGUGGCGUGAACCGUCUCGUCCAUCGAAGGCGAAGAGGAAGCUGAUGGACAACGAGAUGCGAUGGCCACUGGUAAAAAUGUAUUUUCGGCUAAAUGUUGAAAUGAAAAAUUAUUUCACAUUUUUUUUAUUGAGACACAGAAUUUUCAUAAGUAUUAGUAAAAAGUCAAAAAAUGCAAAUCUUGUAUAAUCAUCUCUUUUAUAAAUGAAUAAAUUUAACAAACUUUCAGUGAUUUUCUGCAUAAUUAUUAUAAUAAAAAUUCGUAGAGAAUUAUAGAUAUGAUUAUAUUAAUAUCUAUUGAAUAAAAUCUUUGAAUUAUUGUUA